CGGUACAUCUAUCAAAGAAUAACGUAGGUGUCCUAAGACCAGCUCAGUGAGGACAGAAACCUCGCGUAGAGCAAAAGGGCAAAAGCUGGUUUGAUCCCGAUGUUCAGUACGCACAGGGACUGCGAAAGCAAGGCCUAUCGAUCCUUUUGGCUUGAAGAGUUUUCAGCAAGAGGUGUCAGAAAAAUUACCACAGGGAUAACUGGCUUGUGGCGGCCCAGCGGUCAUAGCGACGUCGCUUUUUUAUCCUUCCUCCUAUCAUUGCGAAGCAGAAUUCGCCAAGCGUCGGAUUGUUCACCCGCAAAUAGGGAACGUGAGCUGGGUUUAGACCGUCGUGAGACAGGUUAGUUUUACCCUUCUGAUGACUAUAAAUGUCGUUGCGAUAGUAAUCAACCACAGUACGAGAGGAACUGGUUGUUCAGACCUCUGGUUCACGCCCUCGGUCGAUCGACCGGUGGAGCGAUGCUACCAUCUGUUGGAUUAUGCCUGAAUGCCUCUAAGGCCGAAUCCGCGCUAGAUCGUCGUUGGCGACGAUACAUCUGGGAGUCUCGUGUGCCGAAAGGCGAGUACAGUCUAUGUGACUAUGCUAGGCGGCUGUUCCUUACGGUCAGUCGUCGCGUUGUGCCCCGCCGUGUGCUGUGCCGGAACGGCUGUGACCAGGGAUUGAAACACCUGAAGUUGCGGCCCCCGGCUUGCAGUAGACCAAGGGUUUUUCGGAGUCGGGACUCGGAAUCGUUUGUAGACGACUUACGUACCUGGCGAGGUGUUGUCAGCGGUAGAGCAGUUAUCACGCUGCGAUCCGUUAAGACUCUGCCUUCCGCUUGGGAGAUUCGU
Molecule: non-coding RNA, 831 nt
Filed under: Gossypium arboreum
Lineage: Eukaryota; Viridiplantae; Streptophyta; Magnoliopsida; Malvales; Malvaceae
Description: Eukaryotic large subunit ribosomal RNA
Rfam family: Eukaryotic large subunit ribosomal RNA
Source: Rfam by way of RNAcentral